GAUCAUGGCUCAGGAUGAACGCUGGCGGCGUGCUUAACACAUGCAAGUCGAACGGAGUUUUAACGGAAGUUUCGGAUGGAAGUUUAGAACUUAGUGGCGGACGGGUGAGUAACGCGUGGGUAACCUGCCUCAUACAGGGGGAUAACAGUUAGAAAUGACUGCUAACACCGCAUAAUAUAGCGAAACCGCAUGAUUUUGCUAUCAAAUAUUUAUAGGUAUGAGAUGGGCCCGCGUCUGAUUAGCUAGUUGGUGGGGUAAAAGCCUACCAAGGCGACGAUCAGUAGCCGGCUUGAGAGAGUGACCGGCCACAUUGGGACUGAGACACGGCCCAAACUCCUACGGGAGGCAGCAGUGGGGAAUAUUGGACAAUGGGGGAAACCCUGAUCCAGCGAACCGCCGCGUGAGUGAAGAAGUAUUUCGGUAUGUAAAGCUCUAUCAGCAGGGAAGAUAAUGACAGUACCUGACUAAGAAGCCCCGGCUAACUACGUGCCAGCCGCAGC
This 500-nucleotide ribosomal RNA is filed under the name uncultured bacterium. Its description in RNAcentral is "bacterial SSU rRNA". It matches the Rfam family "Bacterial small subunit ribosomal RNA", at positions 15 to 518 of the family's 1533-position model. The record is from RNAcentral.